This is a long non-coding RNA of Centrocercus urophasianus (Greater sage-grouse), 9192 nucleotides long. RefSeq lists it as uncharacterized. NCBI's taxonomy places the organism in Eukaryota, Metazoa, Chordata, Aves, Galliformes, Phasianidae. The transcript has 3 exons. The record is from RefSeq and is a predicted model, not a curated record.
UGCAGACGUGUGCUCAGUGAUGCUGCUAGGGAAGCACACCCAGGGAUGGGUCCCCCACCAGGACCCCAACAUUGCACCCCACUGCCUCAAGUGCUACGAAACAACAUGAGAGAAACCCACAGCCAUCUCCACCGCUCCCAAAGCUGCCCCGCUCCCCGCCAAGAAUGGACGCAGUCCUGGGGCAGCAUUUUGCUUUCGCACCAGGAUGUGGUUAAUCAUUCCCCAGCAGCAGCACGCCGUGUACAGGACGCAGCACAUCGUGCUGCUUUCACCGAGCCCUGGUGCUCUGCAACCUCAUCUGGGGCCGGGGUGCAGGAUUUGCUCUCUGCCCCUUUUUUAUCAGCCUUGGUCUCAGCACUGGUACCGCAUCUGUGCCAGCCUCCUCCUCGCGCAUCGCCGCUCCUUACCUUGAUGUUGCAGAAGAUACCACGGGAGCAGGUGCUGGAGCUUUUGGGGGCAUCCACUGGGGACUUGGCAGCUUCGGGAUGGACCCCCAUGGUGCACCCCAACAGACACGCUCGUGAGGGCUCCGGCCCGUCCUGCUCCGAAAACGACAGGUAAACUCUCAGAGAAGACGCAAAGGCUUCUGCCCCCUACAACACUAGACCUAUUGUUAGCCCCAAGCACUGCCUGCUCCUGCUGCCUGCUCCCUUCUUCCCCUCUUGAAGAAGAUAUUGCUCCCCACGCACCGAUGCCAUGGCCUUUCCCUGCCUCCUCCAACCUGCAGACCUAAAACCAGCCCUCAUCGUAUCAGCACAGGCUUGGUUCAGCCAGGAUAUUUCACAAGAGAGUCCCAGCAGUACCGAAAACACAAGAAAUCAUUACAUAAACAGCCUGCUGUUUUCAUAUUCAGCUGGAAGUUGGCCCAGGACACCUCAUUUCGAAGUGCAGCCCUCCAUCACCCAAGAUAAGAGACUACGCCACUCACCAUGCUGCAUCCAACAUCUUCCCCAGAGGAAUCAGCCACGGGAACCCCAUCUCUGGAAGAGAAAAGUUUGGCACAGCCACAGCAUCACUGGAGUUGCUGCAGGAUCCCAUGCAUCAUUUCUCAGCUCGAGCUUGCAAGUGCUGCUGGAGGUGGCAAAGCCAUGCUGCAGGUGAAAGGCGUGGAGACUUCUCUGUGGUCUGAUUUACUCAAAGCUUGUAUGAGAUAAUGUCCUUUUAAAAUACAAUUUCCCAUUCAUUGAAAAACGUAUUCUAGCAAACCCAGUCCUUUUCCAGCUCCUUACCCCACUGGCCUGGGGCAUAAGGUAUCCCCCAUUGGGUCUUCCACACUGCCAUUUUCUGCAGCACUUCCAUUAGAUGCAACACUGAUGGAGGGGGCACCUUCUCAUAACACAGAGGAAAACAGGUCUGAAGAGGUACCCCCUGCCCACACUUUCAUUCCUCAGUUAAAUAGAAAUGUGUUGGGCUCCGACACAACAGAGAACUGCGGAAAUCCAAACACGAAGGCAGAACUUAAAGAAACCAACGUAAGCCUGAAGCCUGGAAAGAAGUACCCUGUUUUCAGUGAGGGAAAGAACGAAACAUAAACCAAUGGCCCAGAACUAGAACAAGUGAGGAAUCAGAAUCUGCCACCACGGUUGUAUUCACAUUGACUGUGCAGCCAGCCCGACAGACACCACUUUGUCCCCCAACGGGACCCCGGAUGGCUUUCACAGCCCAAAGGGACACCUAGAUCCCAGGCACCUCCCACACCAGUACUUCCUGCUCCUGCUUCCCAGCACUGGCUCUGGCCAGGAACGUGACUCCGGACCCGGUCUGGCCUGAUCCUGCCCAUGCCCUACUCAGCUGGUCCAGCACGACGUCAGCAUUACGCAGGCUGGAGAACACACAGGAGAGCAGAGGCGUUCACUCCUGAUGGGAGAUGGAGCGAUAGGGAUGUCGCUGUGUAUUUUGGCUGCCUUGCACACCAGGCAAUCACACCCCACUGCUCAUUUCUCUCCUGGCUUGAGGUUUGCCCAAUUUCAGCUUCUGGAAGAAAAAUCCGCUCAUACCAGGCUGCUCUCUGGACUGUGGGGGGAUCAGCUCCCCAUCCUUCCCCCAUCCACCAAGCACCUUGGGGACAGGAGGGCACACAGGAGCAAUAAAUGCCCGUGUGGUCUCAGUAGGCUCUGGACUCACCUCUACCAUCACUGGUGGUCACAGUGGCCAUGGGCAACAGUCGCAUCCCAAAGAGCCACCACAGCAAGUGAAGGACUGGAAACAAUCCCAGCCUUUUAUUUUUUACUUUUACUUAUUAAUUAAGGGAAAAUUAAAACACAUCACGGAGACAGAUUAUUUUAAACACACUGCAGCCUGCCAUGCCAAGACAGGAAAGUCACCGCACAGCCCAUGCAGUCUGGUGGUCCCUUUCUUUUCUGUAACGGAUGGAAGCAAGCAUGAUGCCGGCAGGAUAUUUUCCCUGCCUCAUUGUUUUCAAGCUUUUUCAGAAGUGAGUUUCCAUGCAGCUAAUAAAGGGGCAGGUUGGCAUCAUCUUAAUGAAAACUAAUUAAAUGUAAUUUAGCCUGACGAAAAUAUUUGUGCUCCACAGGGAACACCCUGUAGCUGGCUACUAAGAGGCAGGAAGAAAGUACUUCUUACAGUAACAGGCUUUAUUUCACACUGGUUACUCUAGAGCUUCCCAUCAAGGCUUGUCAUGGCAAAGAGCCUACUUAACCAAUUUGAUUCUUGAAUUCCUCCCCCAAGUUUCACUGGCUUUGGUGUGAGGAUAUCGGCAAACAAGGAGUGCAGCAUCCAUCCAUCCCCCAGGGCUUUGGUGGUGCUGUGUUUUCCGACAUGUGAGCAUCAGGUGAUGGGCAGCCAAGUGGAAAGCCAGAAAAGUUAUCAGAUCCUGGUAGGAAAUGCUUCCAUGGGGAUGAAUCCUCUUUAAACAGACAAAACUCAGAAACGUAACGUUUUUCCCGCUCUUGCUUAGUCCUCACCUUUUGUUUUGUUCCUGAAAGCUGCUGGAUUUGAGGAAGUAUCCUAAGAACAGGAUAGUUCCUCCCCAAAAGAUGACCUGUAUUUAAAAAAGCAAUCCAAAAGCACGCAGACAUGCAAACAAGCCACGAUGGAGUCAUUUGACUGAAUUAAUAAGAUUUAUCAGACGAUCUCAGUUUACAGGGAAGGCCAUUUCUUAGAAGCAAACUGCCUGCUUGAGAAACAAAGAAGCUGUUCUGGUGUUAGGGGGGUUAAGCAGCCCAAUUUCCAACGGAUCCAUGCUUGUGUAUGUUACUUUCCUCCUCUGUCCCCAGCACUGUCCAAAUCUCCCCAUUAUGCCCAGUUGUGGGGCCAAGGCAGUGAGCUGGGCAGCAAACAGGGGGCAGAUCCUGCUCACCUCUCCCUUCUCCGUUUGCUUCUUGACCUUGGGUUUGAGCCUAACUAUUCCUGAGCCAUUUGCAAUGCUGUCCAGGGGAUCACUGGGGGGCAAUGGGCUUUUGCAGGAGGAAUGAAGAGUUUACACACUGCAUGACACAAAGUACCAAAGAAACAUGCUCAGCUCUUUGUCUGGGUUAACACAGUGGCACAAAUCUUCCUCGCAGAGGAUGUGCAUGGCCUCAGGGUGUUUCCCCAUGGCUUCCCCCAUGAUGGCAGCUGUACACAUGCAAAACCUCAUCUUUCUCAACUGCUGUUUGGAACAAGAGAAAAACAUGCCUCCUCCUUUCCUCCUCUUCUUCCUCUCGCUAAUUACCGCUCCCAGGUCUUUCAGCUUAUUAACAUCCGUGCUUAUUGGCUGCUGGAUAAGCUUCUGCAAAACCUUGGCGUUGGCUUGCAGCCAUGUGUAUGGGCUGGAGGUGAUACUGAAGGUCCCCCCAGGGCAGAAGCGAUUCGCAUUGCUGAAGGAUGAGAUGGUCUCCUCCUUGCAAGGCACGAGGCCAGGACCCCCUUGAAGGCACUGUGUGCCCUCCAAUCCCCACCACGUCACUGCUGGAUGCAGAAAAGACACAGUGGAGUGCCAACUGCUGGGGCUUUAAUCCAGAUGGGGCCCUACUGGGAGGCCAUAGCCUCAAAAGGCAAGGGAGAUCUCAAGCUGACGCUGAGUUCCUCAAAGAGGAGCUCAGUGCCACCAGCCCCUGGCCACCAGAGAGAAGGUGCCUGCCAGCAAAACUCUGAGAGAAAGCCAAAUUCUGUUAAGAUCACACUGCUCAGUAGUGGAAAUGAUAAAUAGUGCAGCCAUCUUCAAGACAAGACUGCUCAGCUCAAACCUAGGCCAGGGGGUAUUUUGGAGAGGGGGUGGUCCAGGAUCUUCCCAGCCCCGGAGAGCUUCCAGCCAUUCAGACCCUACAAGGCUCCAGGCAGUAUCAAAAGACAAGCCAAGAAAACAAUCCAAAGAUCCCACUUCUUAAAGGGACAGAAGGACAAAGAACUGACAGACCUUCAAGAGGAGACACGUUAACAGGAUACAAAGACAAUCUCUAAAUAAACCAAACCAGAGCAGCCAAGUAGCACAAGAGCUGGGGAGAGAACAGGGAAUGGCCUUGGGUUCUUGGGAGGAGCACAUUUGAAAGGAGUGUAGCACAAGCAGGAGGACCUGGACUGAUCUUUUAUGGUUCUUUUCCAGGCAACUUUGUGGUCCCAUAACAGUGCAGUCAGGAAAAGAGGGGCCAACGUGGUGCUGAAGAUGAAUAACUGCCAAAACAAUCCUUCCAUUGCACUUUUUGGGAGAGCUUCUGACACACUCGCUUACAGUAAUUUCCUCUAAUCUGCUAAUUGCGCUGAGAAAUUCCACGAAAUGUUUUCUGAGCAGUCAGAAGGGGUGGUAGGGUUGGGCAGCUGGAGCGCAUCCUACACACAAGCGCUCAUCCUCCUCAGCACGUGUGGAAGCCUGGCACGGGCACGACAGCCGUACCGUGGAUUGGAACUGGUUGGUUGUGGGCAGGGAACGAGAGAAGUGAAAUUCUGAUGAAUAUUAGCUAGGAAAUGCUGCUUUUUGCCACUGAUCCCCAGGAGUGAGAGUCAGCGCGUGGGCAGGAAGGUAUCGCAACAACAAGAGGAUGCUGUGGGUUCACCUUGUCUUUCCUAUGGCUAGAGACUGAGCACGCUGUUUUUUUCUGUAAUAUUAAGAAACCUCUUCAAAAGAACAAGGCAUUUCAUUAGUGAUCACUGGCAUUUUCUACAUCCAUGAACAAAAACUGGCAUUACAGCUCAAACCCUCCAGAUCAGAAUUUCAGGCGAGAGGAACUCCCCGCAUACUUCUGGAUGUCUCAUUUGUCGGGGGAGGGCUGACGCAUGGCCUUUGACUAAUUGCACAGAGGAAUCCAGCUGCCUCCAGAAAAACUCACUGAGGCACAACUUCUCCUAUUUCCCUUCCUCCACACCAAGAAAUAGCUGAAAACUCAAAUAGUUUGCUAAAACCCUUCCCCGGUGGACACCAUCCAAUUUUCAAUUUCCAAGACCUCAAAAAUAUGCGGUCAGGAAGGAACACGGAUCAAUGCCAGUGGUGCUAACAUAACGCAAAGGCAACCCGAAUCAAGACAUUAAGGAAUUUGCUCGAAUGGCUGCUAGUAUUAUUUCACACAAUCAAGGGGUGGAGGCAAAAGAAAAGAAAAAUUACUCAUUUUGUGAUUCCGCUUCUCUGAGCCCUUUGACCCUCUUGGCUGUGGGGUUCCAGCUCUACACACGGAGCCAAAAUGGCUUUAAGGGUUUCUACUUCCUAGGUAUGACAAAGGCUGGGCUUUGGGACAGCUUCAGCCAAGUGGCUUAGCUGAGCCAGGAAAGGAAAAAAUUCCCUUCAAAGCUACUUAUGGCGGCUCCUAGAUUCCUCCUCCUUCGUCUCCUGUAGGAUUGCUUUUUUUUUGAAUGAGAAAUAUUGAAGGCCACUAGAGAUGGUUGUGCCAGGGAAUGGAGCAGGUGGUGUCAGAGGAGUCCUUCUGGCUGGUGACACGAGCAGCCCCUGGCUGGCUGCUGCCGAGCAGAGGACGAGUGUCAUUUCCCUUGCGGGAAAGCUCAACUGCGUUCACCAAAGACCGCGAGCCACUUGGGAGCUGAAGUCCACCGCAGAGCAGACAGGAUUUCCAGCUCAGGAGAACAAUUACCAUCAGGAUGUGGUUUUUAAGGUCACAAGUUUGUAAGAAGCGCCGGUGGCUCAGCCUGGAAGCAGCGAUCUCCAUGCCAGAGAGUCCCCAGAGAGCCCUUUGCAAGCUCCAGAGUCAAAUGGUGCAGCUUUGAGAGAUGGACAGAGGAGCUGGACCACUCCUGCACGAAGGACGCUCUGCUUUCUUUGGAGCACCGUUGGCGUGCAGAAUGCCGCUCGCAUCCUUUGACACAUGGAAGAGGGGUCAGCCUGCAGGAUGGCCGGGGUGGUGCUUCCAUGGCUUGCAGAGCUUGUUCUGUGGAAGCAAAGCAGCAGAGCUGGGCACACACUGGCCAACACCAACAGUGAUCUGGGCAUGGCUUCUAGGCAACAUCCUGAAACGGUCUCAUGAGGCAGGACAGUGACGUACAGGGCUGGUUCAACCCAUGCCAGAACAGUUUCUUUAACGAUAUCUAAUAAAGGAAGGGACAAAGCUGCACCUCCGCCCUGGGCCACCAGAUGAGAACAAGAGGACAGCAGUGACCCAGCAUCCAGCUCCCAGUAUCAGCAGUCUCAGCUGGAUGGAAGAGAUGGAGAAGGACCAGAAAGGCAGUGCGCAGCUUUCCUGGAAAGAGCUCAGACAAAAGCAACACCAAUCUCAGCCAGCAAAACAAAUCAGCAUUUCCCCUGAACGGCAUGGAUGAGGAUGAAGAAAAGAGGAAGGAAUGGAGUUUGUUUUCACGUGCCCUGGUGUUGUGCAACAGUCCAACGUCCUCUGGGCAAUUGUAAAAACCCCACGCGCCCCACACUGCUGAGCUCACGCUGGCCUUAUCUCUGUCAGCAAAUAAAACAAAAUAGUCACCCGACAAUUUAACUGGGAGGACUUUCUGCGGCUCUGCCUUAUCUCUGCACGCAGAGUGAAACCAUCCUGCUGACGUGAGCCCCGUCUUCUGAGAGGGAGCUGGGACGCAGCGUCCGAUGCGUGGUACAGACCUGCCUGGGACCACGCUGUAGUGACGCACAGGGGAGGCCUCCUCAGCCCAGGUUUGCCACGUGGUUGAUAAUUACCAGCUCUGCCUGACCAUCCUUCGGGUUGCAGGGCUGCAGCAUCCCUCUGCCAGCAGUGAGCCAAGUUGAUGACAGCAGUAGAGCUCACCGUUUGGGUGCCUUCAUCCUGCAAGCCCUCCUCACCCACAUGCCGUCUGCCUCAUGCUUUGUGUGUUCAGGGCACACGGCACCAUCCCUUACCGUAAGCGUGACAGCUCCUAUCUCUCUGUUUACACAAAGGGCAUGAAGCAAGUAGACAUCCCUGUGGGGCCAUCAAGACCUUGGUGGACGGACCAGAACACAGUCCCAAGGAGCUCAAGGACAUAAGCAAGUCUGCAUGCAUGACCCUCCAUCAGAGGGCAAAGAGCUGGGUGGUGACUUGAAACGUUCUGGGAAUCAAAAACGUGCCCACACAAGCAAAAAAGUGCUUGCUUCUUGUUUGUCAGCUCUGUGCGAUUCAACUAGACUUGAUCUCGAAGGUCUUUUCCAGCUGAGAUGAACCCAUGAGUUGUAAAGGAGCUUACCAUGAAGAUAUGCUCUGGUAACGCCAGGGUGAUGGUGGGGGGCUGCCCAGGUCCACAUGGUCCCUGAGGAGAUCGCAGCCUGCACCCCUCCACCAGCCUGCAGGGUGUUUGGUGUGCCUGAGGCCACGUGCAGCUCCUCGCUGUGCUGCCAAGGUCCCUGAGGCCCCCCAAGGACACAGCCCCAAGACAAGCACCCUGCUGCCAGCAUGGAGCCCCAGCAAUGCUCCCUGGGCAGCAUAGGGGCUGCUGGGGGGUUCUGCAGCCAAAUGGAGCGAAGUGCGGGGACAGAGACAGAAUGAAAACUUGGGGUUGGGAAAUCAAAAUGCUUGAGAUAAAUUAAAAAAGAUAUAUAUAUAAGCAAUUAAUCAACACUUAAAACCCACUUCCUCCCCCAAAUGGUUUCAAAAGAUACAGUAUUUUUGCAGCCGAGCGCUGAGCAGCAACAAUUUCCUGAUUUCCUGUGCUCAAGCCGUCCAGGAGACCUGGGCACUGCAGGAGGAUUUAUGUCUUACCGGUAUUUGCUCCUUGCACAACUGAAAAACAGCCCUCCGAAAGAAGAGGAAUGAUCCUGUUUGUUGUUGGCUUCCCCAUAUGCAGCAAAUGAAGUGGAUGUAGAAGUGAGAUGUCUCCAGUGCCCAGCAUGGCUGUGCGCUGCCCCCAGGGAUGCUCACAGCUGGGUUCCUGCCCACCCACCCGCUGCUCCCAACUCACUCCCUACUGAGGUGAACUGGUCCAGGGCCAGAACCUUGGGGGUUCUUGGGUAAGGUUCACAUCCUGAAGCGAUUACAGACACGGAUGAGGUGUUUGAAGAAAGAGAAUGAAGAAAAAUGCUAACACGCAUCAUUCCUGGAGGCGUUGCAGAGAUGCGGCGCUGAGGGACCCCAUCAGUGGGCAUGGUGGGAUGGGCUGGGGUUGGACAUAAUGACUUUAGGGGUCUUUUCCUACACUAACAAUUAGUCAGUUUGGCAAUGGCAAAGCAAAAGGGGGAACGUUUGUGCUCCGUGGAGCUAGGGGAAGGCACGAGCCUUGUGCCAAUUCAUCUCAGAUGAACUUUGCCAGAACGCAGGAACAAGACAAAAAGAAGUGGCAGCACUUGAACUCCCUGGGACUACAGAGCAUCUCAUCAAGGGCUGCAGAAAGGAAAUGUAGCUGUGGGAGGGAAGGCGGCUUGAUACACUCUCCCACCCACCUCUGCUUCCUAUGGCUCCAAAUCUGCCCCCUGGGACUCAGCCUCUAUUGAGCAGAGACGCUGAGAAAUAAGAUAUUAUCCACUAAAAGCUAAAUACGAACGUUCAAGCAGAGAUUUAAGGAUAAUAGCAUAAGAUUUCGGCAGUGGUCACUGCCCUAGGACAGGAGCCAGGAGAAUCUGAUGGAAGAAUCUGUCCUGUAGCCAGCUGCACAGUCUGGUACCACAGUAGGAAGAAAUAUGUGCAAAAAAAAUAUGUUGUAAUUAAUUUUUUUUUUUUUCCCUUAAAGCUCAUAGAUUUCAAGAUUAGAGAAACACACCCAGAAUGGUUUUUAACUAUCCAAAGGAACAAAGGAGGUUUGCAAGUGAUGUAUUUUUAUGAAGACUCAGACAAUAUCCACAAGUCCCUUCUUGUAAUAAAACUUGGAGCUUUGCAUGAA